AGAACACCAGUGGCGAAGGCGGCUCUCUGGUCUGUAACUGACGCUGAGGCUCGAAAGCAUGGGUAGCGAACAGGAUUAGAUACCCUGGUAGUCCAUGCUGUAAACGAUGAGUGCUAAGUGUUGGGAGGUUUCCGCCUCUCAGUGCUGCAGCUAACGCAUUAAGCACUCCGCCUG
This 174-nucleotide ribosomal RNA is filed under the name uncultured Lactobacillus sp. Its description in RNAcentral is "partial 16S ribosomal RNA". It matches the Rfam family "Bacterial small subunit ribosomal RNA", at positions 703 to 875 of the family's 1533-position model. The record is from RNAcentral. Lineage: Bacteria; Bacillati; Bacillota; Bacilli; Lactobacillales; Lactobacillaceae.